Molecule: long non-coding RNA, 863 nt
Organism: Apis dorsata (giant honeybee)
Lineage: Eukaryota; Metazoa; Arthropoda; Insecta; Hymenoptera; Apidae
Exons: 4
Source: RefSeq, a predicted model, not a curated record
AAAAUUAAGCUCGUUUCCAUUAAAUUAUCUGAUUGUAUGAAUCUGCUUGUCCUCCUGACAGCUACGCAUAAAUUUCUCUAUAUUCGGAGAUGAAUUCAAGAAAAAACAUUGGAUCGGAAGACCGAGGUUCUACCCGUUUUGGAAAAUGUUCUCGAUUCGUUACAAUACCGAGAACUGUCGCAUUAACGAGGCCAAUAACGGUGCCGGCAGGUGCCACGUGCCAAGUUACAUGCCACUGUCGCUGUCCAUCAUCGUUCUUACUUUCUUGCUCUCGGAGAGUGCAAUAUUUUGAAUGAAAUCUACGUAACAUCACACUGGAUACCACUGUUGUAUCUUCGAUGAGAAAGCAGGCCGCGACAAAACGUGACCAAUGUAGAGAAUAAGAUAUGGGCGGAAAUUAUAGAUUGGAAUUAUAAUAUUAGAAUCUCUAAUAUGUUCAACCUUUUUGGAAUUUAUUCGUAACUUUUGAAAGUCAAGGGAUAAAGGAAGAAAUUGACAUUGCGAAUGAAUUGAUUUGGCUGGCUGUUCUUAAUCGGUUUAAAGGCGACGACGAGGAAGCGUGCCACGACCGGAUUUUCUCCAACCCCGUGUCACGUGCAACGCUUGUCGUAACAUUAUGCGUAAAAAAUAUUCAACGACUGCGUAAAUCAUCUCGAAAAAGAGAAAUCGCAACGCGAUAAGAAUACACGGGGACAAGAUCAUCAGGAAAAAAGUAAACGAUGCCCAGCAGCGUGUCUCCCUCCAUCAGUCAAAUUCGAUCACAAGGUUGAUGGAUCGCAGGUGAACAAGCGUAGUGUCUCGAACUGAAAUUCUCUCGGUCACGGAUAAAUUAAAGUGAAAACUAUUAAUUACAAGGUGGAAGU